GACGAACGCUGGCGGCGUGCCUAAUACAUGCAAGUCGAACGAAGCUUUUUUAACUGGUGCUUGCACCGACUUAAACAACUGGGUGGCGAACGGGUGAGUAACACGUGGGUAACCUGCCCCAAAGCGGGGGAUAACAUCUGGAAACAGAUGCUAAUACCGCAUAACCACAGAAACCACAUGGUUUCUGUGUCAAAGAUGGUUUCGGCUAUCACUUUGGGAUGGACGCGCGGCGUAUUAGCUAGUUGGUAAGGUAAUGGCUUACCAAGGCAAUGAUACGUAGCCGAACUGAGAGGUUGAUCGGCCACAUUGGGACUGGGACACGGCCCAAACUCCUACGGGAGGCAGCAGUAGGGAAUCUUCCACAAUGGACGAAAGUCUGAUGGAGCAACGCCGCGUGAGUGAAGAAGGUUUUCGGAUCGUAAAACUCUGUUGUCAGAGAAGAACGUGUGCGAGAGUAACUGUUCGUGCAGUGACGGUAUCUGGCCAGAAAGCCACGGCUAACUACGUGCCAGCAGCCGCCGUAA
Molecule: ribosomal RNA, 524 nt
Filed under: uncultured bacterium
Lineage: Bacteria
Description: partial 16S ribosomal RNA
Rfam family: Bacterial small subunit ribosomal RNA
Source: RNAcentral